RNAcentral lists this ribosomal RNA (253 nucleotides) under uncultured bacterium. RNAcentral's name for it is "partial 16S ribosomal RNA". It matches the Rfam family "Bacterial small subunit ribosomal RNA", at positions 524 to 776 of the family's 1533-position model. The record is from RNAcentral.
UGCCGAGGGUGCGAGCGUUAUUCGGAAUUACUGGGCGUAAAGCGCGCGUAGGCGGCUUUGCAAGUCGGGUGUGAAAUCCCCAGGCUUAACCUGGGAACUGCAUUCGAGACUGCAUUGCUAGAGUAUGGGAGAGGGAAGUGGAAUUUCCGGUGUAGCGGUGAAAUGCGUAGAUAUCGGAAGGAACAUCAGUGGCGAAAGCGACUUCCUGGACCAAUACUGACGCUCAUGUGCGAAAGCGUGGGGAGCAAACAGG